Molecule: ribosomal RNA, 253 nt
Filed under: uncultured bacterium
Lineage: Bacteria
Description: partial 16S ribosomal RNA
Rfam family: Bacterial small subunit ribosomal RNA
Source: RNAcentral
UACAGAGGUCCCAAGCGUUAUUCGGAAUUAUUGGGCGUAAAGGGCGCGUAGGCGGCUAGAUGUGUCAAAGGUGAAAUCCCUCGGCUCAACUGAGGAACUGCCUUUGAAACUGUCUGGCUUGAGGCCGGGAGAGGGUAGCGGAAUUCCCAGUGUAGCGGUGAAAUGCGCAGAUAUCAGGAGGAACACCGGUGGCGAAGGCGGGUCUCUGGGCCGAUACUGACGCUGAGGAGCGAAAGCGUGGGGAGCGAACAGG